This 440-nucleotide ribosomal RNA is filed under the name uncultured bacterium. RNAcentral describes it as "bacterial SSU rRNA". It matches the Rfam family "Bacterial small subunit ribosomal RNA", at positions 954 to 1392 of the family's 1533-position model. The record is from RNAcentral.
GCACAACGCGAAGAACCUUACCAGGGCUUGACAUCCCGCUGAUCGGUGUAGAGAUAUGCCUUCCCCUUCGGGGGACAGCGGUGACAGGUGGUGCAUGGUUGUCGUCAGCUCGUGUCGUGAGAUGUUGGGUUCAGUCCCGCAACGAGCGCAACCCUUGUUUCUAGUUGCCAGCACUUCGGGUGGGCACUCUAGAGAGACAGCCGGUGAAAGCCGGAGGAAGGUGGGGAUGACGUCAAAUCAUCAUGCCCCUUAUGUCCUGGGCUACACACGUGCUACAAUGGCUGGUACAAAGGGCAGCGAACCCGCGAGGGGGAGCCAAUCCCAAAAAACCAGUCUCAGUUCGGAUUGCAGGCCGCAACUCGCCUGCAUGAAGUCGGAAUCGCUAGUAAUCGCGGAUCAGCAUGCCGCGGUGAAUACGUUCCCGGGUCUUGUACACACCG